UUUAAAGGAUUUUUCUUCUUAAAAUUCUUGGAACACCUAAGAGAUUUAAGGGCAUGUUGGUUUUGUUUUGUUUGCUCCGUUUGUAAUCCAUGUGCAAAUAAAACUGCUUCUCUCUUACACUGCUUGAACUAGAAAAAGUAAGGUGUUUAGUGUAGGUUACUGCUAACUAAUAAGCACAAAAGAAUCAUGUAUAAGAAACCAGAUUUAAGUGUUCUAAAUAAAAUGUAAACAAAACUUCUACUUGGUAGAGAUGGGAAAAUUGUGUGGCUUGGUCUGCAUGUCUUUGAUGUGCUUGUAUAUCAAUAGCUGUGUCAUUUUUAAAUAAGAAAUAUACAAGCAAGCCAAAUUUUUAAAUGACAGAGUCCAUAAACAACUGGAAAAUGUUGUCUGUUGUUGAAAUUUAUAAUCAUUUAUCACUAAAUUGCACAUUGCCUUUAUUUAUUUAUGCUCUGGUUUUGGUUUACAGUGUAAUUAAUACCUCAUUUUUUAAAAGAACCACUACUGUUAUAUUUCGUUAAUUUAAACAGCUAGAAAAUUCAUGCAGUUGCUUUCUUUUUAUAUAAUCUGUUCAUGAAUUCUUGAUUUUUGUAUCUGCCACAGUAAAUUAAAGCAUUGCACAGUAUUUAUCAGUAUUUACAAAAUGUUCUGUCCUUUUUUAAUCUUUGUUUAGUUAAUCAUAUUUUUGUCUGUAUGAUCAGAAGUUUUUAAAUGCCCCUCUUUUUUGUACAAAUGUGUAUUGUAUUAUAUUGUUAAUUUCUGGAUAAAUUUUUUCAAAUAUUAAAGUUAUAUAAUC
Molecule: long non-coding RNA, 793 nt
Filed under: Bos taurus (domestic cattle)
Lineage: Eukaryota; Metazoa; Chordata; Mammalia; Artiodactyla; Bovidae
Description: long non-coding RNA NONBTAT015981
Source: RNAcentral